Molecule: transfer RNA, 72 nt
Filed under: Candidozyma auris
Lineage: Eukaryota; Fungi; Ascomycota; Pichiomycetes; Serinales; Metschnikowiaceae
Description: [Candida] auris tRNA-Pro
Source: RNAcentral
CGUUCCUUCCGCAAUGGUAAAAAAAAGAAAAGAAUAGGGUGCGAUUCUUCCCGCCUGAGACAAUCUUUCUAC